RNAcentral lists this transfer RNA (91 nucleotides) under Paludibacter propionicigenes WB4. Its description in RNAcentral is "tRNA-Ser". It matches the Rfam family "tRNA". Rfam says of the family: Transfer RNA (tRNA) molecules are approximately 80 nucleotides in length. Lineage: Bacteria; Pseudomonadati; Bacteroidota; Bacteroidia; Bacteroidales; Paludibacteraceae. RNAcentral also lists the same sequence under 1 other name. The record is from RNAcentral.
GGAGAGGUGCUCGAGUGGUUGAAGAGGCACGCCUGGAAAGCGUGUAUACCCCUAAAGGGUAUCGAGAGUUCGAAUCUCUUCCUCUCCGCAA